Long non-coding RNA from Homo sapiens (human), 3606 nucleotides. RefSeq lists it as uncharacterized. The transcript is spliced from 2 exons. The record is from RefSeq and is a predicted model, not a curated record. NCBI's taxonomy places the organism in Eukaryota, Metazoa, Chordata, Mammalia, Primates, Hominidae.
CAUGGACUGGGCAGGAGAACCACAACUGCUUAUAAAAAGCAUGCAGUGUAUAUAGCAUUUUCACGUAGCACCCUUCCCCUAGCAAUCUCCACCUGGCAACCUUCAUUUAACCCAAAACAAAGUACCUUGAUCCCCUACGCUACCUGAGUUCCACAGGAUAUCCCAGAGGGUUCAGAUGUUCCUCACAGAUAAGGAAUGAAUCUGUGGGUUGGCUGUUCCCAGGUUCCUUAGCUCAGAAGUCUGAACAUACAUUCUUAAACCAUAGGGUUAUUCUUAAGGUAUGCUUAAGUUAUUGCUGCCAGGUGUACCUGCCAUACAGUCUUUGAUCCAUUUGAGUUUAUUUUUGUAUAGAGUGAGUGGGGAGGGAGAGAUAAACAUUUAGGUCCAGGAAGCUUGUCCAUAAUGAAACUAUGGCAGGGGCCAGGAAGGAAGAUUGUAAACAAAUAAUAUUACCUUCCACAUUAUUAUUGUUAUUAUUUACAAAAUUUUCAUACACCCGUGGGUCUAUUUGAGUUUUAAAUUCUGUUCCAGGGUUGGGCUCAGUGGCUCACGCCUGUAAUCCCACCACUUUGGGAGAACUAGGCAGGAGGAUAGCUUGAGCUAAGCAGUUCGAGACCAGCCUGGGCAACAUAGUGAGACCUUAUCUCCACAAAAAAAUUAGACAGGCAUGGUGGCACGUGCCUAUAGUCCCAGCUACUUGGGAGGCUGAAGUGGGAGACCACUUGAGCCUAGGAGGUUGAAGCUACAGUGAGCCAAGUUCGCAUCACUGCACUCAAGCCUUAGCAACACAGUGAGAUCCUGUCUCAAAAAAAUAAAUAAGUAAAUUCUGUUCCAACGGUCUAGUUUCCUGUUCCUCUGACAAAAACAUAAGUUUUAAUUAUUAUAACUCCAUAAUAUACUUUCAUGUCUUGUAGAUUAGGCUCCUUUCUCUGCCCUUUUUUAUAAAAUUGACUUUCCUAAUUUUUACUCCUUAAUUAUUCUAUAUAAAUAUUAGAAAAAGUUUGAUUUCCUCAAAAAUUCUAAAAUUUUAAUUAGAAUUGCUUUUAUUGAUUAGUCAGGGGAGGACUGACAUAUCCACACAGUGAUUUAAGACAAUAAGAGACCAUCUUACACUUACUAUGUUAUUAAAUAAUACUAAGUGCAGGUGAGGAUACUAGAAAACUGUCUUAUGGUUGGAUGGAAUGGUGCUGCCAUUUUGGAGAACAGUAUGGCAGUAUUUAAUAACAUUAAAUAGGCAGUUUUUAGUAGCAUUAAAUACGUGUAAAUGUUAUGAUGUAGCACUUCCUCUAAUGAGUUUUUACCCCAAAGAACAGUUGUAGAGAUAUACAAGGAGACAUACACAAGAUAUUCAUUGCAGUUGUUUGUGGUAACUAAGAGUUGGAGAAAACUUACAUGUCCUUUUAUAAAGUAAUGGAUAAGGAAACUAUAUAAGCAUAUGAUCGAAUAUAAUGCAACGAUCAGAAGCUGCCAUUGAGAAAAGCAUGGUGGCAAGAAAGCAAAAAUGAAUCAGGUUUUAGAAUUACAUUUAUCAAAUAAUUUAGGUGUGGUUACAGACAUAUGGAAUUGACUAGAAGUAAAUUGAUCAGAACUCUAUUAAGGUUUUGAAGGAAUUAUUUUGCCAAAAACAAAAACUAACAAAUGGAGUCAACAACAGAAUCUGGACUAAAAAAAUUUUUUUGACUAGUCUAGUCUUAAAAUGAACUUCUUGUAAUCCUAACACUUUGGGAGAAAGAGGUAGAAGAAUUGCUUAAAGCCAAGAGUUCAAGACCAACCUGGUCAACAUAGUGAGACCCUGUCACAAAAAAGCAAACAACAACAACAACAAAAAACACAGGCCAGGCAUGGUGGCUUAUGUCUGUAAUCCCAGCACUUUGGGAGGCCAAGGCGGGCGGAUCACUUCAGGCCAGGAGUUUGAGACCAGCCUGGCCAACAUGGCAAAACCCCAUCUAUACUAAAAAUACAAAAAUUAGCUGGCCAUGGUGGCACAUGCCUGUAAUCCCAGCUACUUGGGAGGCUGAGGCACAAAAUCCGGUUGAGCCCCAGAGGCGGAGGUUGCAGUGAGCCAAGAUCACACCACUGCACUCCAGCCUGGGUGACAGAGGGAAACUCUGUCUCAAAAAACAAAACAAAACAAAAAAGUCAGGUUCUGAAAUUUGCAUAGCUGAAAGCAGGCUCAGAAAGCUGUGCAGUCUCCAAGGACAUAUUCCUCAACAACCUCUUCAGGUAUGGCCAUGAAAAAUAGACAAGGAAGAACAUCCGGCAGGAAAAACCCAAGAACCAUGAAAAACAGUGGAUAAGGGAAUGCCUCAAAGGGAGUAGAACCCAGCUCUAAUUACAAAUUAGCCCACACCCCAGUUAAGAGGAAUUCACAAUGCAUGCCUCAGAGGAUUUUAUCAUUGUAAUGAACCAGCAGUUACUAUGUGUCUCCCAUUAUUUUUCUUUUCAAGUUAAGAAUUCUUAAUUGUAGCCAUCUAGCCCUGUCCCUAAUGAAUGUAUUAGGUAUGUGGGAGUAAGAAUGAGAAUAGGUGCAAAUAAUUUAUCUCUUUAGUUCAUGGGUGGCUUGACCACAAGAAGCCACUUCUAUGACUGAAAUAACUGUGUAUCACUAGGAAAUCCUAGAACUUGAAUUGGAUGCACUGACUGAUACUUUGAGCAGUCACUCUUAAGAUAAGGUGUAUCUUAUGUGUGGGAAGAAGAGUAAAACAGAUGCUAUUUACCAGAAGAGUGAACUAUGGCAGAAAUUGGCCAGACAUUCAGCAAACCUAUUUUUUUUCUCCUAGACUCUCAGCUAGACCAUAUUUCCCAGCCUCUGUUUUGGUGAGGUGCAAUUAUAUGACUUUCAGCCUAUGGAAUGUGGAAAGAGUGAUGAUUAUACACCACUUUCAGGCUUGGCUUGUAAAAAUCCACCAAUCAUUCCUUCACUUUCUCUCCUCAUAGUUGGCUGGAUAGUGACACCUAAAACCACAGCAAAAGAUGGCAGAGCUUCCACCAGCCUAGGUUCCUGAAUGACUGCAUGGAGUGUGCCCCAGCCCCUGCUGACAGUUGGACUUUAUAUGCUGCAAUAUGCCACCCAGAUUUCUUCUUCAGGAAUGGAAGAUUUGUUCCCCCAGCUGCUAAAGUGCUGCAGGAAGACACUCCUCAGCUCUCAGUCCUCUUUGGGGAUUGCUGUGGCAAAAGAAAACUGGAGGUCCAAGAUGAUACCUCCUUCCAAGAGUAGCUCAUAUACAAUGAUUGAGAGGUGCCUGUUCUUGCUUCAGCUAGGGACAAUUUUGAAGGGCCAUCCCAGAUCCAGAGCUUGUCAUCAGGUUGAUUAAUUGAUUACAUUUCAACUUCUCCCUCUACCCAAUUCUGCUUUCGUUCCCUCCCUUCCACAAGUGCUGAUCCCAAGACCACUGCCUAAUAAAUGGCCUGCACACUAGUCUCCAUCUCUUCUUCAACUGUAUCUCCACCUCUUCUUCCUGAAGCAACAUGCUGUGACACAAACGUUAAUGUAUGUUCGUGUAUCUUAACCUUUGUUGCUCUAUAUUUCCCUUCUGCUCACCUCUAUUUUUCAAGUUUAUAGCAACAUUUUGUGAAAAUAAAUAAAUAUGAAAGUUUUACAAAGUA